RNAcentral lists this ribosomal RNA (501 nucleotides) under uncultured bacterium. RNAcentral's name for it is "partial 16S ribosomal RNA". It matches the Rfam family "Bacterial small subunit ribosomal RNA", at positions 30 to 523 of the family's 1533-position model. The record is from RNAcentral.
AUUGAACGCUGGCGGCAGGCUUAACACAUGCAAGUCGAGCGGGGGAAGGUAGCUUGCUACCGGACCUAGCGGCGGACGGGUGAGUAAUGCCUAGGAAUCUGCCUAUUAGUGGGGGACAACAUCUCGAAAGGGAUGCUAAUACCGCAUACGUCCUACGGGAGAAAGCAGGGGAUCCUCGGACCUUGCGCUAAUAGAUGAGCCUAAGUCGGAUUAGCUAGUUGGUGGGGUAAAGGCCUACCAAGGCGACGAUCUGUAGCGGGUCUGAGAGGAUGAUCCGCCACACUGGGACUGAGACACGGCCCAGACUCCUACGGGAGGCAGCAGUGGGGAAUAUUGGACAAUGGGGGGAACCCUGAUCCAGCCAUGCCGCGUGUGUGAAGAAGGCCUUAUGGUUGUAAAGCACUUUAAGCGAGGAGGAGGCUACUCUAGUUAAUACCUAGGGAUAGUGGACGUUACUCGCAGAAUAAGCACCGGCUAACUCUGUGCCAGCCGCCGCUGUAA